This 221-nucleotide ribosomal RNA is filed under the name uncultured bacterium. RNAcentral's name for it is "partial 16S ribosomal RNA". It matches the Rfam family "Bacterial small subunit ribosomal RNA", at positions 1283 to 1500 of the family's 1533-position model. The record is from RNAcentral.
UUGUCUCAGUUCGGAUUGUAGGCUGAAACUCGCCUACAUGAAGCUGGAGUUGCUAGUAAUCGCGAAUCAGCAUGUCGCGGUGAAUACGUUCCCGGGCCUUGUACACACCGCCCGUCACACCAUGAGAGUUGGCAAUACCCAACGUACGUGAUCUAACCCGCAAGGGAGGAAGCGUCCUAAGGUAGGGUCAGCGAGUUGGGGUAAAGUCGUAACAAGGUACC